Molecule: long non-coding RNA, 338 nt
Organism: Bufo bufo (common toad)
Lineage: Eukaryota; Metazoa; Chordata; Amphibia; Anura; Bufonidae
Exons: 3
Source: RefSeq, a predicted model, not a curated record
UGCCCUGUUUCUCCUAGGCUGUAGCGCUGUCCAAUCGCAGCGCAGCGCUCACAGCCUGGGAGGUUUAUUUUUCUCCCUGGGGAGUUCCUACAGAAUCAAGGGGUUACCGACCUGCUCGCCAAGAGUAAAAAUCUAAUCAGGCCUUUUGAUAAAAGUGUCAAAUGGCCCGGAGGCGCUGAGUGCAAUCACUAACAGGUCAUUUAAAGGGGUUUCCAAGGAGGUGCAUUUAUAUAUAUAUAAAAAAAAAAAAGCUGCAAAGGACUACAGAAAAAAAAACAAUACUUACUCUCACCUUUCCACUGUAAAAGGGGUACAUGGCCAUUGUCUGUGAAUGGUCA